CAGGGAGACAACAAAAUGUUUAAUAUUAUUAUUUUGUCACCUUAGGUCGAUCGGUAUCUCACGUUUUUAAUUUAUUAAGAAUUUCAUUUCCUAAGUUUUUCUAGGUCACACCCAUUAUUUUUCCUGGGCCAUUAGCUCAGGUGGUUAGAGCGCACCCCUGAUAAGGGUGAGGUCCCUGGUUCAAGUCCAGGAUGGCCCAUAUCUCUAUGUUGGGGGUAUAGCUCAGUUGGUAGAGCGCCUGCUUUGCAAGCAGGAUGUCAGCGGUUCGAGUCCGCUUACCUCCACUGAUCACCACCUCUUCCAUAAUCGGUAGAAAGGAAAUUUUUUGAGUUGUGAUCAAAUUCUGAAAGAAUCUAGCUUCCUAAUGAAAUCAUUAAGAUGCUGGACUCAUUGAAUUAAUUUCAUUGUUUUCAGAGAACCUUGACAACUGCAUAGAUUAUUUUUAAAGACAAUAAGCAUCUUUAAUGAUGCAGAUUUAUUAUUUGUGCAAAUGCAUUAAUAACAAUUCUAUUAAGCUGAUGCUUCAAUAUUUGAAGUUAUU
RNAcentral lists this transfer RNA (541 nucleotides) under uncultured cyanobacterium. RNAcentral describes it as "partial 16S-23S ribosomal RNA intergenic spacer". The stretch from base 212 to 284 matches the Rfam family "tRNA". RNAcentral also lists the same sequence under 1 other name. The record is from RNAcentral. Lineage: Bacteria; Bacillati; Cyanobacteriota.